Non-coding RNA from Pelobates cultripes (western spadefoot toad), 238 nucleotides. Lineage: Eukaryota; Metazoa; Chordata; Amphibia; Anura; Pelobatidae. The record is from the annotation of a GenBank genome assembly.
CCUGUAAAUACAUUUACUGUACAUACAUCAUGCAUAGCACUCAUGCAGCUCAUCUGCUAAAGCAGGUUUACUUUGGUUUAGUUAUCCUAAUUAGGGGUUGUUGGUGGUUGGCAUCCAAUACACUUUUAUGGUCUAUGUAAAUACUGUUAAUCAUAUAGUCUUGUUGAUACUGAUCCUAGUUACUUACAAUUUCUGGUUAUCCAUUAUUGCUACUCUUCUGUUUCUCCACCUAUUCUAC